This 1527-nucleotide unclassified non-coding RNA is filed under the name uncultured fungus. Its description in RNAcentral is "sequence contains 18S rRNA gene, ITS1, 5.8S rRNA gene, ITS2, 28S rRNA gene". The stretch from base 529 to 1527 matches the Rfam family "Eukaryotic large subunit ribosomal RNA", at positions 1 to 961 of the family's 3401-position model. Lineage: Eukaryota; Fungi. The record is from RNAcentral.
GGAAGGAUCAUUCACACAAAUUUGUUAGCAUACCAAACCAUGAACUCGUGUCCCAUUUUGUUUUUUUUCCUUGCAACAUGUUCGUUGCCAGGCAAUGCGGAGUGUUUCGGCCCUCUGUGUUGUCCUGAUAGGAUUGGGACGACAAAGCCAGUCGGUCUCCUGCUCGUGGAAGUAGGUGGAAUUGCCCAGAAAAAUAAAUUAUAAACUUUCAGCAAUGGACGUCUUGGUUCCCAAUUCGAUGAAGGACGCAGCGAAUUGCGAUAAGCAGUGCGAAUUGCAGAAAUCUGUGAACCAUCAGACCUCUGAACGCAUACGGCACUCAUGAGACCCGUUCUCAGAGUGUGUUUGGCUCAGUGUCUCUAUAAUUCUAAUAUCAUACUUUAGUGCUGACGUCGUGCUUUUCAUUUUAAUGUUAUGGCUCCGUCGUCGAAGAAAUUCUCAACAUGUUUGUUCUCCGCAAUUGGGUUAAGUUAUUUGAACAUUCCAUAAUUGCAGGUGCACACUUUUGAAUGCUUAAUAUUUUCGACAUGACCUGAGCUCAAGCAAGGCAACCCGCUGAAUUUAAGCAUAUAAUUAAGCGGAGGAAAAGAAACUAAGCAGGAUUCUCUUAGUAGUGGCGAAUGAACAGGGAUAAGCCCAAAAUGAAAAUCACGUGCUUUCAGUGCGUGAAUUGUAGUCUGAAGAAGUGUUUCCAGUGGACGUCGCAGAGAAAAGUCUCUUGGAAGAGAACGCCAGAGAGGGUGAGAGUCCCGUCGCUGUUCUGCAGUGCGUCUACAUACGGAGCACUUUCUUAGAGUCGCGUUUCUUGGGAGUGAAACGCAAAGUGGGUGGUAAACUUCAUCUAAGGCUAAAUAGAACAUGGGAAACCGAUAGCAAAUAAGUACCUUGAGGGAAAGAUGAAAAGGACUUUGAAAAGAGAGUUAAAAUUCCCCGAAAUUGCUGAAAAGGAAGCGGUUGAAAUGCAAGUGUACAGCCUUGGAAAUAAGUUGUUUUGAGGUAUGAUUACUGUUGCAUUCACUUAACUGGCUUGCAAUGGCCAAUCUUGCUUACAGGCAAUGGAUUUUCCAGGAGGAAUCAGCUGCGGUUGGUGCUGUUGCGUGGGGUUGUUUGACGGACGUGUUCUUAGGAAUCGUUGCUGCUUGCUUCUUUCAACGAACGGUUGCCGACCGAGGAAAACGCGCUCUGGGUUCGCCUGGUUCGCUGCGUAGCUGAUGAAAGAAUUUCCACCGGCCCGUCUUGAAACACGGAUCAAGGAGUCCAACAUAUAUGCGUGUCCGCGGGUAGACAAUCCUGUGGGCGAAAUGAAAGUGAACGGUUCCGUCCAGGAACGACCGACCACAAUCGCCGAGAGAGGUUUGAGUACGAGCAUAUCUGUUGGGACCCGAAAGAUGGUGAACUAUUCCUGAAUAGGGUGAAGCCAGGGGAAACCCUGGUGGAGGCUCGUAGCGAUACUGACGUGCAAAUCGUUCGUCAAAUUUGGGUAUAGGGGCGAAAGACUAAUCGAACCAUCUAGUAGCUGGUUCCCUC